Molecule: long non-coding RNA, 386 nt
Organism: Neopelma chrysocephalum (saffron-crested tyrant-manakin)
Lineage: Eukaryota; Metazoa; Chordata; Aves; Passeriformes; Pipridae
Exons: 3
Source: RefSeq, a predicted model, not a curated record
GAUCUCCUUGUAAGUCCAUGCCUAUGAGUUAUCUUCACAGGACACAAAAGCAUUACACUGCUGCAAGACAAACAUGGCAACACACUGACCACUCCCAGUCAGCAAGACAUUUGCAGAGGGCAAACAGACAAGACAGAUUCUAGAGCACUUUAGAAAGAAAAAACUGGAAUCAGUGCUUGAUUUUUGACUGUGAAAAACUGACUGGUAGCGCUUAUCUGAAACAGCUCAGCUUGUCAAAAAGAUGGCUGGUUCUGUCAGUUUCUUACAAAAGAUGACAGUAAAAAGAUCUUCCCUGUGUGAUACAACAUUGUAGUGAAAGAAACUAUAAGAUUACCAUGGACUAAAGAGCAAAACUGUGGAAGCUCUCUCUCACUUGGAAAUAAAGC